AUGUCCCAAAGUUUUACGCACACUAACGAGAAUCGAAGCAAACUCUAUAUCAUUCUUGAAGCUGGAGAACAACCAACCACUAGAUUACUUUCCUUACUUUUACUUUGUACUACAUACAGCCCUGCCAAGCCAAAUUAUUUUGUACUGCAUUCUUGCAAAGCCAAAUUAUACACACUUGCCAAGCCAAUCGAAACAAACACUGUAUCAAUUUUAAGUUUAUCAAUAUUUAUCGUACACCCAACCACCAGGCCUGGCCAUGUCACGGGCCGCAGCUGGCGUUCAACAGCAUGUUUCUCUUCCACGGCAAGAGACACAACUAACUGA
Molecule: ribosomal RNA, 324 nt
Filed under: Triticum aestivum (bread wheat)
Lineage: Eukaryota; Viridiplantae; Streptophyta; Magnoliopsida; Poales; Poaceae
Description: partial small subunit ribosomal RNA
Source: RNAcentral